RNAcentral lists this long non-coding RNA (320 nucleotides) under Bos taurus (domestic cattle). RNAcentral describes it as "long non-coding RNA NONBTAT009603". The record is from RNAcentral. Lineage: Eukaryota; Metazoa; Chordata; Mammalia; Artiodactyla; Bovidae.
AUUAACAGUACAGUUAUUUACUUAGAAAUCUAAACAGAAAAAAAAAAAAGAAAUCUAAACAGAAGCUACACAUUUUUGGAUUUGAUAUGACAAUUAGUUAAGGAUUUUUUGAUGGAUUAGGACUGCGAAUGAACGUAUGUGUUGUGGAAAAAUCACCAUACAAAAAUAAUAUAACAAGCAGUUAGAAAGUAUGCUUUGAAAAGGUCGCAGUUUUGUGUAUGUAUAUAAAACAAUCCAAAAAGAAAUCAUUCAUGUAUAUACAAAAAAUAAUAAGUUGCCAUACUUCCAGCAUGAAUGUGUGUAUGGGGGUGGGGGGGCGG